GUUGCUAAAAACUAGACUAGUCCUGAUUUCUACUUUCCCUUUGCCUGGAGGCUAAGCAAACAGUCAUCUAUCCAAACUGUCAACUUAAACACCACUUUCUUGGCAAUCAGCCUCUCCUUGCCCUUCCUAGUAUCUUAAAAUAAAUAAAUAAGUACACAACGGAGGUGGAAAGCCAAGCCAAGAGCACCAAUUUGUGUCCUCGGUUUUUCAGACCUUGGGUUCGUGGCAGAGCAGAGACGCAGAAGCACUAGCCUGCAGUAUUCCAUAAAACUAACAGCUGGAUCAAGCCAUACAGUGUCACUGAAUGGCUAUCACUCUGUGAAAAGGAUCCAGUGGAGAUUCUCCUUGAUUUGGGGUUUGGUACAGAAGAACCCGAUGUCUGCACUAAAAUCCCUCCUAGGUUCCUCAGCAGUUCUUCUGUGGCAAAAGGUAUCGACAU
Molecule: long non-coding RNA, 439 nt
Filed under: Numida meleagris (helmeted guineafowl)
Lineage: Eukaryota; Metazoa; Chordata; Aves; Galliformes; Numididae
Description: lncRNA (ENSNMEG00000019504.1)
Source: RNAcentral